Non-coding RNA from Caenorhabditis elegans, 67 nucleotides. The record is from Ensembl. Lineage: Eukaryota; Metazoa; Nematoda; Chromadorea; Rhabditida; Rhabditidae.
CAACUUUAAAGGCGCAUACCUUAGAAACUGGAAGAGAUAUCAAAAAGUUGUCAACUAGCAAAAUGUA